UGCUAAUACAUGCAAGUCGAACGAACUCUGGUAUUGAUUGGUGCUUGCAUCAUGAUUUACAUUUGAGUGAGUGGCGAACUGGUGAGUAACACGUGGGAAACCUGCCCAGAAGCGGGGGAUAACACCUGGAAACAGAUGCUAAUACCGCAUAACAACUUGGACCGCAUGGUCCGAGUUUGAAAGAUGGCUUCGGCUAUCACUUUUGGAUGGUCCCGCGGCGUAUUAGCUAGAUGGUGGGGUAACGGCUCACCAUGGCAAUGAUACGUAGCCGACCUGAGAGGGUAAUCGGCCACAUUGGGACUGAGACACGGCCCAAACUCCUACGGGAGGCAGCAGUAGGGAAUCUUCCACAAUGGACGAAAGUCUGAUGGAGCAACGCCGCGUGAGUGAAGAAGGGUUUCGGCUCGUAAAACUCUGUUGUUAAAGAAGAACAUAUCUGAGAGUAACUGUUCAGGUAUUGACGGUAUUUAACCAGAAAGCCACGGCUAACUACGUGCCAGCAGCCGCGGUAAUACGUAGGUGGCAAGCGUUGUCCGGAUUUAUUGGGCGUAAAGCGAGCGCAGGCGGUUUUUUAAGUCUGAUGUGAAAGCCUUCGGCUCAACCGAAGAAGUGCAUCGGAAACUGGGAAACUUGAGUGCAGAAGAGGACAGUGGAACUCCAUGUGUAGCGGUGAAAUGCGUAGAUAUAUGGAAGAACACCAGUGGCGAAGGCGGCUGUCUGGUCUGUAACUGACGCUGAGGCUCGAAAGUAUGGGUAGCAAACAGGAUUAGAUACCCUGGUAGUCCAUACCGUAAACGAUGAAUGCUAAGUGUUGGAGGGUUUCCGCCCUUCAGUGCUGCAGCUAACGCAUUAAGCAUUCCGCCUGGGGAGUACGGCCGCAAGGCUGAAACUCAAAGGAAUUGACGGGGGCCCGCACAAGCGGUGGAGCAUGUGGUUUAAUUCGAAGCUACGCGAAGAACCUUACCAGGGUCUUGACAUACUAUGCAAAUCUAAGAGAUUAGACGUUCCCUUCGGGGACAUGGAUACAGGUGGUGCAUGGUUGUCGUCAGCUCGUGUCGUGAGAUGUUGGGUUAAGUCCCGCAACGAGCGCAACCCUUAUUAUCAGUUGCCAGCAUUAAGUUGGGCACUCUGGUGAGACUGCCGGUGACAAACCGGAGGAAGGUGGGGAUGACGUCAAAUCAUCAUGCCCCUUAUGACCUGGGCUACACACGUGCUACAAUGGAUGGUACAACGAGUUGCGAACUCGCGAGAGUAAGCUAAUCUCUUAAAGCCAUUCUCAGUUCGGAUUGUAGGCUGCAACUCGCCUACAUGAAGUCGGAAUCGCUAGUAAUCGCGGAUCAGCAGCC
RNAcentral lists this ribosomal RNA (1346 nucleotides) under Lactiplantibacillus plantarum. RNAcentral describes it as "bacterial SSU rRNA". It matches the Rfam family "Bacterial small subunit ribosomal RNA", at positions 45 to 1357 of the family's 1533-position model. Lineage: Bacteria; Bacillati; Bacillota; Bacilli; Lactobacillales; Lactobacillaceae. The record is from RNAcentral.